This 819-nucleotide ribosomal RNA is filed under the name uncultured Alphaproteobacteria bacterium. RNAcentral describes it as "bacterial SSU rRNA". It matches the Rfam family "Bacterial small subunit ribosomal RNA", at positions 366 to 1205 of the family's 1533-position model. Lineage: Bacteria; Pseudomonadati; Pseudomonadota; Alphaproteobacteria. The record is from RNAcentral.
GGACAAUGGGGGAAACCCUGAUCCAGCAAUGCAGCGUGAGUGACGAAGGCCUUAGGGUUGUAAAACUCUUUCAUCGGUGAGGAUAAUGACAGUAGCCGAAGAAGAAGGACCGGCUAAUUCCGUGCCAGCAGCCGCGGUAAUACGGAAGGUCCUAGCGUUGUUCGGAAUUACUGGGCGUAAAGCGCAUGUAGGCGGAACAAAAAGUUAGAAGUGAAAUCCCUGGGCUCAACCUAGGAAUUGCUUUUAAAACUUUUGUUCUGGAAUUCAGGAGAGGAAAAUGGAAUUUCCAGUGUAGAGGUGAAAUUCGUAGAUAUUGGAAGGAACACCAGUGGCGAAGGCGAUUUUCUGGACUGAUAUUGACGCUGAGAUGCGAAGGCAUGGGUAGCAAACGGGAUUAGAUACCCCGGUAGUCCAUGCAGUAAACGAUGGGUGCUAGUCGUCGGACUUUUGUUCGGUGUCGUAGCUAACGCGUUAAGCACCCCGCCUGGGGAGUACGGUCGCAAGAUUAAAACUCAAAUAAAUUGACGGGGACCCGCACAAGCAGUGGAGCAUGUGGUUUAAUUCGACGCAACGCGAAGAACCUUACCAGCGUUUGACAUGGGAAGUGCCGGUUACAGAAUGGUAACCUUCAGUUCGGCUGGCUUCCACACAGGUGCUGCAUGGCUGUCGUCAGCUCGUGUCGUGAGAUGUUGGGUUAAGUCCCGCAACGAGCGCAACCCUUAUCGUUAGUUACUAACAGUUCGGCUGAGGACUCUAGCGAAACUGCCGGUGAUAAGCCGGAGGAAGGUGGGGAUGACGUCAAGUCCUCAUGGCCCUUAC